GUGCUCACCUUGGCAGCACAUACACUAAAAUUGGAAUGACAGAGAUUAGCACUGCCCCUGAGCAAGGAUGACAUACAAAUUCGUGAAGCGUUUCAUAUUUUU
This 102-nucleotide small nuclear RNA is filed under the name Vicugna pacos (alpaca). The record is from RNAcentral. Lineage: Eukaryota; Metazoa; Chordata; Mammalia; Artiodactyla; Camelidae.